AUUGAACGCUGGCGGUAUGCUUAACACAUGCAAGUCGAACGGUAACAGGCCUUCGGGCGCUGACGAGUGGCGGACGGGUGAGUAACGCGUAGGAAUCUGCCUCAUAGUGGGGACAACGUGGGGAAACUCACGCUAAAUACCGCAUACGCCCUACGGGGAAGCGGGGAUCUUCGGACCUCGCGCUAUGAGAUGAGCCUGCGUUAGAUUAGCUAGUUGGUAGGGUAAAGGCCUACCAAGGCGACGAUCUAUAGCUGGUCUGAGAGGACGAUCAGCCACACUGGGACUGAGACACGGCCCAGACUCCUACGGGAGGCAGCAGUGGGAAUAUUGGACAAUGGGCGCAAGCCUGAUCCAGCAAUACCGCGUGUGUGAAGAAGGCCCUAGGGUUGUAAAGCACUUUCAAUUGGGUAGGAAAACCGUGUCGGUCAAUAACCCGGCAGCUUGACAUUACCUUUAG
RNAcentral lists this ribosomal RNA (457 nucleotides) under uncultured bacterium. RNAcentral describes it as "bacterial SSU rRNA". It matches the Rfam family "Bacterial small subunit ribosomal RNA", at positions 30 to 484 of the family's 1533-position model. The record is from RNAcentral.